Molecule: ribosomal RNA, 249 nt
Filed under: uncultured bacterium
Lineage: Bacteria
Description: partial 16S ribosomal RNA
Rfam family: Bacterial small subunit ribosomal RNA
Source: RNAcentral
UACGUAGGGAGCAAGCGUUGUCCGGAAUCAUUGGGCGUAAAGCGCGCGUAGGUGGCUUCGUAAGUCCGUUGUGAAAGUCAAAGGCUCAACCUUUGAAAGCCGAUGGAUACUGUGGAGCUAGAGUACGGAAGAGGCGAGUGGAAUUCCUGGUGUAGCGGGUGGAAUGCGCAGAUAUCAGGAGGAACACCCGGUGGCGAAGGCGGCUCUCUGGAACGCAACCUGACGCUGAGACGCGAAAGCGUGGGGAGC